Molecule: long non-coding RNA, 2482 nt
Organism: Balaenoptera ricei (Rice's whale)
Lineage: Eukaryota; Metazoa; Chordata; Mammalia; Artiodactyla; Balaenopteridae
Exons: 2
Source: RefSeq, a predicted model, not a curated record
CUGGGCGGCCGUGGAGCCGACGAGCCGACGCACGGCGCCGCGCCGAGCGGGGAACCGGGACGGGGCGGGGGCCGGGCCGGGGUCAAGGUCGGCGGGGGCAGGUGGCGGGGGCCCGCACACUCCGCACCCGGCCCCGUGCUUUGCCGCUGCCGUCACGCGCGCAUCCUCAAGCGUGGCCGGAGCCUGCCUCGUGUUAGCAGCCGAAAUCCACGCGUUUCCACGGUUGGCGGUUGCAGUGGCUGUGAGACCCCACCGUCCUACAUGAGAGCUGAACAGAGAUGGCAGAGGUCCUGCAGGACUGGGAGAUGUUGAAGCAAAGAGAAGAGAUCUUGGUGCAGCCCAAGCAACCAGCUGGGACACCAGAAAGGCCACACCCUAGAAGACUGAAUACAGCUGAAGAGAGGAAGUUUCAACUCAAAGUCACAUCACUAGAAAUCAUCUGAAUCAAAACACAGGAAAAGGGACUUCCCUGGUGGCACAGUGGUUAAGAAUCUGCCUGCCAAUGCAGGGGACACAGGUUUGAGCCCUGGUCUGGGAAGAUCCCACAUGCCACGGAGCAACUAAGCCCGUGUGCCACAACUACUGAGCCUACAUGCCACAACUACUGAAGCCCAUGUGCCUAGAGCCCGUGCUCCACAACAAGAGAAGCCACCGCAAUGAGAAGCACACGCACCGCAAUGAAGAGUAGCCCCCGGGCUUCCCUGGUGGCGCAGUGGUUGAGAAUCUGCCUGCCGAUGCAGGGGACACGGGUUCAAGCCCUGGUCUGGGAAGAUCCCACAUGCUGCGGAGCAACUAGGCCCAUGAGCCACAACUACUGAGCCUGCGCGUCUGGAGCUUGUGCUCCGCAACAACAGAGGCCGCGACAGUGAGAGGCCCGCGCACCGCGAUGAAGAGUGGCCCCCGCUCGCCGCAACUAGAGAAAGCCCUCGCACAGAAAUGAAGACCCAACACAGCCAAAAAUAAAUAAAUAAAUAAAAUUUAAAAAAAGAGUAGCCCCUGCUCACAACUGGAGAAAGCCCACGCACAGCAACAAAGACCCAGCGCAGCCAAAAAUAAAUAAAUAAACAUUUAAAAAAUGAAAAUAAGGAAAAAAGAUAACAGAAAAGAGUAUUAGAGACCCAUGACAAGAUCAGAAAGGUCUAAUGUACAUGAAAUUGGACUCUCAAAAGGAAGGAAAAAGAAAUGGAACAGAAGAAAAUUCUUUUUUUUAAUUUAUUUCUGGCUGUGUUGGGUCUUCGUUGCUGUGCGCGGGCUUUCUCUAGUUGCAGCAAGUGGGGGCUACUCUUCGUUGCAGUGCGCGGGCUCCUCCUGCAGUGGCUUCUCUUGUUGCAAAGCAUGGACUGUCAGCAUGUGGGCUCAGUAGUUGUGGCUCGUGGGCUUAGUUGCUCCAUGGCAUGUGCGAUCUUCCCGGACCAGGGCUCGAACCCACGUCCCCUGCAUUGGCAGGCGGAUUCUUAACCACUGCGCCACCAGAGAAGCCCCCAGAAGAAAUUUUUAAAGAGAGAAUGUGUACAGAUUUUACAAAUUGGUGAGAAUAUACCAACCCACAGAUCCAAAAAGGUUAGCAAAAAUAAUAUAUAAAAUAUAUAUUAACUUACAUAAUAUAUAUUCCAAAAAUACAAUAGAGGAGAUGAAACAAAAUUUUUAAAAUACAUGAAUAAUUUAGUAGAAGGCAAAAGAGAAGGAAUAAAGGGCAGAUGGAACAGAUACACAACAGCAAGGUGGUGGCUUUAAACCCAACCAUGUCAAUCAUUACAUUAAAUGUAAAUGUAUAGAAAACUACAAUUAGAAGUCGGAGACUUUAGAAUUCCCUGGCAUCCCAGUGGUUAGGACUCAGUGCUUUCACUGCUGUGGCCCCAGGUUCAGUCCCUGGUUGGGGAACUAAGAUCCGGCAAGUCGAGCAGUGCAGCCAAAAAAGAAAGAAGUUGGAGACUUUAGACUGAAGUGGAAAAAAAACCCCCACCUAACGUAAAUGAGUUUACAAAAUCGAUAUAAUAACAUAACUGCCUAAUGUUCAAAGCAAAAAUUGACAGAACCGAAAGGAAAAAUAACCCACUAAUAGAGUUUGAGAUUUUAACACGUUGCUAUGUAAUUAAUGGAACAAGCAGGCAAAAAAGACAGUAAGGAUGAUUUAAAUACUUAUUAACUAAGCCAGUUACACUCCAUAAAAAUGAUUAUGUACCCUCACCAUCAAAACUGCAGUGGUCCAGCCACAUUGUGUGCCAGCAGAGUAAGAAGGCACCGGGGAGAAGUCUCAGAUUUCCACUUGGGUCUUUCCACUAACUGAUGAGUGGUGUGGCCUGGGUCCCACCGUCUUGUCCACAUUCUCAGUUUCCUCACCUGCAAGAUGAGCCACGGCACGGGCUGCUCUCAGAAGCCUCUUCCAGCUCUAACCCUCCAUUCUAAGGAGGCUCUAGGGGCUACCCCAGGAUGCUACCCCACUUGAAAACCCUCUUUCUAGAAUAAAACGAGAUUCAAACAA